CCACUGGAGAGCAGGACCCGGACCAACCCACUGCGCCACCGCGCCCCCUCAGUGUGUAAUAUAACAUUACUAUUGGUCAUUUUCAAAAGAUAAUCCAGGUUAAAUACUUCACUCAUGGGUCCAAGAGCACAGUUCGCCCUGGUACUAAAACUGGAAACCUUCAGGAUACCAGUCAGUCCAUAAUGGUGAACAGCCACUUGUCACGGGCAUCCCACUUCCACCCCCAGCAUUCUUCCCUC
This is a long non-coding RNA of Scleropages formosus (Asian bonytongue), 239 nucleotides long. RefSeq lists it as uncharacterized. The transcript is spliced from 3 exons. NCBI's taxonomy places the organism in Eukaryota, Metazoa, Chordata, Actinopteri, Osteoglossiformes, Osteoglossidae. The record is from RefSeq and is a predicted model, not a curated record.